Molecule: ribosomal RNA, 253 nt
Filed under: uncultured bacterium
Lineage: Bacteria
Description: partial 16S ribosomal RNA
Rfam family: Bacterial small subunit ribosomal RNA
Source: RNAcentral
UACGGGGGGGGCUAGCGUUGACCGGAAUUACUGGGCGUAAAGCGCACGUAGGCGGACUGGAAAGUCAGGGGUGAAAUCCCGGGGCUCAACCCCGGAACUGCCUUUGAAACUCCCGGUCUUGAGGUCGAGAGAGGUGAGUGGAAUUCCGAGUGUAGAGGUGAAAUUCGUAGAUAUUCGGAGGAACACCAGUGGCGAAGGCGGCUCACUGGCUCGAUACUGACGCUGAGGUGCGAAAGCGUGGGGAGCAAACAGG